GCGCACCAGUCGAGAAAACUUUACAAUGCGCGAAAGCGUGAUAAGGGGACUCCGAGUGAUCCAGCGAGAGCUGGAUCUUUUGCCAAGUGUAAACAGCUUGGCGAAUAAGGGCUGGGCAAGGCUCGUGCCAGCCGCCGCGGUAAUACGAGCAGCCCGAGUGGUGCCCGCGGAUACUGGGCUUAAAGCGUCCGUAGCUGGUCCAACAAGUCCUUGGUGAAAGCCUGCGGCUUAACCGUAGGAAUUGCCAGGGAUACUGUUGGACUUGGAGGCGGGAGAGGCCAGGGGUACUUCCAGGGUAGCGGUUAAAUGCGUUAAUCCUGGAGGGACCACCGGUAGCGAAGGCGCCUGGCUAGAACGCGCUCGACAGUGAGGGACGAAGGCUAGGGGAGCGACCGGGAUUAGAUACCCCGGUAGU
RNAcentral lists this ribosomal RNA (415 nucleotides) under uncultured microorganism. RNAcentral describes it as "bacterial SSU rRNA". It matches the Rfam family "Archaeal small subunit ribosomal RNA", at positions 330 to 745 of the family's 1478-position model. The record is from RNAcentral.